This 440-nucleotide ribosomal RNA is filed under the name uncultured bacterium. RNAcentral describes it as "partial 16S ribosomal RNA". It matches the Rfam family "Bacterial small subunit ribosomal RNA", at positions 342 to 795 of the family's 1533-position model. The record is from RNAcentral.
CGGGACGCUCCAGCAGCAGGGAAUAUUGCACAAUGGACGGAAGUCUGAUGCAGCGACGCCGCGUGGAUGAUGAAGGCCCUCGGGUUGUAAAAUCCUUUUCAGGGGGACGAGGAAGGACGGUACCCUUGGAAUAAGCGUCGGCUAACUACGUGCCAGCAGCCGCGGUAAGACGUAGGACGCAAGCGUUAUCCGGAUUUACUGGGCGUAAAGCGUCUGUAGGCGGAAUGGUAAGUUGGACGUGAAAGCUCCGGGCUCAACCCGGAGAGGUCGUUCAAUACUGCCAAACUAGAGGGCAUCAGAGGAGCGUGGAAUUUCCGGUGUAGCGGUAAAAUGCGCAGAUAUCGGAAGGAACACCAAUGGCGAAGGCAGCGCUCUGGGAUGAACCUGACGCUAAGAGACGAAAGCUAGGGGAGCGAACAGGAUUAGAUACCCGGGUAGUC